UUAAGUUAGAAAGGGCGCACGGCGGAUGCCUUGGCACUAGGAGCCUAAGAAGGACGGCACUAACACCGAUAUGCUUCGGGGAGCUGUAAGUAAGCUUUGAUCCGAAGAUUUCCGAAUGGGGAAACCCACCAUCUUUAAUAGGAUGGUACGUAUUUGUGAAUACAUAGCAAAUACGAGGCAGACCCGGAGAACUGAAACAUCUAAGUAUCCGGAGGAAGAGAAAGAAAAAUCGAUUCCCUGAGUAGCGGCGAGCGAAACGGGAAAAGCCCAAACCAGGAAGCUUGCUUCCUGGGGUUGUAGGACACUCUAUACGGAGUUACAAAAGGAUGAGUUAGGCGAAGCGACCUGGAAAGGUCCGCCAGAGUGGGUAAAAGCCCCGUAACCGAAAAUUCAUCCCCUCCAGAGUGGAUCCUGAGUACGGCGGAACACGUGAAAUUCCGUCGGAAUCCGGGAGGACCAUCUCCCAAGGCUAAAUACUCCCUAGUGACCGAUAGUGAACCAGUACCGUGAGGGAAAGGUGAAAAGCACCCCGGAAGGGGAGUGAAAUAGAUCCUGAAACCGUGUGCCUACAAGUUGUCAGAGCCCGUUAAUGGGUGAUGGCGUGCCUUUUGUAGAAUGAACCGGCGAGUUACGAUUCCAUGCGAGGUUAAGCAGAGAAUGCGGAGCCGCAGCGAAAGCGAGUCUGAAUAGGGCGAAUGAGUAUGGGGUCGUAGACCCGAAACCAGGUGAUCUACCCAUGUCCAGGGUGAAGGUAAGGUAACACUUACUGGAGGCCCGAACCCACGUACGUUGAAAAGUGCGGGGAUGAGGUGUGGGUAGCGGUGAAAUUCCAAUCGAACCUGGAGAUAGCUGGUUCUCUCCGAAAUAGCUUUAGGGCUAGCCUCAAACGUUAGAAUCUCGGAGGUAGAGCACUGUUUGGACUAGGGGCCCAUCCCGGGUUACCGAAUUCAGACAAACUCCGAAUGCCGAUGAUUUAUGUUUGGGAGUCAGACUAUGGGUGAUAAGGUCCAUAGUCGAGAGGGAAACAGCCCAGACCGCCAGUUAAGGUCCCAAAGUAUUCGUUAAGUGGAAAAGGAUGUGGCGCUGCCCAGACAACCAGGAUGUUGGCUUAGAAGCAGCCAUCAUUUAAAGAGUGCGUAAUAGCUCACUGGUCGAGUGGCGCUGCGCCGAAAAUGUAUCGGGGCUAAACGAAUCACCGAAACUGCGGAUUGACACCUUUGGUGUCAGUGGUAGGAGAGCGUUCCAAGGGCGUUGAAGCUGGACCGGAAGGACUGGUGGAGCGCUUGGAAGUGAGAAUGCCGGUAUGAGUAGCGAAAGAAGGGUGAGAAUCCCUUCCACCGAAUGCCCAAGGUUUCCUGAGGAAGGCUCGUCCACUCAGGGUCAGUCGGGACCUAAGUCGAGGCCGAUAGGCGUAGACGAUGGACAACAGGUUGAUAUUCCUGUACUACCUCCCCACCGUUUGAGUGAUGGGGUGACGCAGAAGGAUAGGGUGAGCGCGCUGUUGGUCAUGCGCGUCUAAGCAGUGAGGUGUGAAACGAGGCAAAUCCCGUUCUAUAACAUUGAGCUGUGAUGGCAAGGGGUGUAUACCCUGGGAGUCCCUGAUUUCACACUGCCAAGAAAAGCCUCUAACGAGGUGGGAGGUACCGUACCGCAAACACACAGGUAGGCGAGGAGAGAAUCCUAAGGUGAUCGAGAGAACUCUCGUUAAGAACUCGGCAAAAUGACCCCGUAAUUCGGGGAGAAGGGUGCUCUGGUAGGGUUUAUAGCCGAGAGAGCCGCAGUGAAUAGGCCAGGCGACUGUUUAGCAAAAACACAGGUCUCUGCAAAACCGUAAGGUGACGUAUAGGGGCUGACGCCUGCCCGGUGCUGGAAGGUUAAGAGGAGAGGUUAGCGCAAGCGAAGCUUCGAAUUGAGCCCCAGUAAACGGCGGCCGUAACUAUAACGGUCCUAAGGUAGCGAAAUUCCUUGUCGGGUAAGUUCCGACCCACGAAAGGCGUAACGAUCUGGGCACUGUCUCAACGAGAGACUCGGUGAAAU
RNAcentral lists this ribosomal RNA (2037 nucleotides) under Lysinibacillus sphaericus. Its description in RNAcentral is "bacterial LSU rRNA". It matches the Rfam family "Bacterial large subunit ribosomal RNA", at positions 3 to 2042 of the family's 2925-position model. The record is from RNAcentral. Lineage: Bacteria; Bacillati; Bacillota; Bacilli; Caryophanales; Bacillaceae.